AACGAACGCUGGAGGCAUGCCUAACACAUGCCAGUCGAACGAGACCUUCGGGUCUAGUGGCGCACGGGUGCGUAACGCGUGGGAACCUGCCCUUAGGUUCGGAAUAACUCCCCGAAAGGGGUGCUAAUACCGGAUAAUGUCUUCGGACCAAAGAUUUAUCGCCUUUGGAUGGGCCCGCGUUGGAUUAGCUAGUUGGUAGGGUAAAAGCCUACCAAGGCGACGAUCCAUAGCUGGUCUGAGAGGAUGAUCAGCCACACUGGGACUGAGACACGGCCCAGACUCCUACGGGAGGCAGCAGUGGGGAAUAUUGGACAAUGGGCGAAAGCCUGAUCCAGCAAUGCCGCGUGAGUGAUGAAGGCCUUAGGGUUGUAAAGCUCUUUUACCCGGGAUGAUAAUGACAGUACCGGGAGAAUAAGCUCCGGCUAACUCCGUG
RNAcentral lists this ribosomal RNA (433 nucleotides) under uncultured bacterium. RNAcentral describes it as "partial 16S ribosomal RNA". It matches the Rfam family "Bacterial small subunit ribosomal RNA", at positions 29 to 507 of the family's 1533-position model. The record is from RNAcentral.